This 288-nucleotide long non-coding RNA is filed under the name Zostera marina. RNAcentral describes it as "long non-coding RNA (ZMAR_LNC005513)". The record is from RNAcentral. Lineage: Eukaryota; Viridiplantae; Streptophyta; Magnoliopsida; Alismatales; Zosteraceae.
UAUCCCUGCUUCUGAUGGAAAUUUUAAACACUGGUGCAGGGAUGAUGUUACCGCUCCAAAUGCAUGUAAUGCUAUCCUGCCUAGUAUUGCGUUGUUCCCGGAUGAAAAUGGCACCACCGAAAAUUUUACUAUCACUGUUGUUUCCUGUACAAACCUUCCCAACGUUACAGGGAUAUCUAUUGUCCCUAGUAUUUGGAUUUCUCCUUGGCCAAAUCCCGUAACCAGUGUGCCGUACGGACCUAAGUCUGCCCUGCAAAAUCCAAGUUGAUCAAAUGCACUCCAGUACAA